This 24-nucleotide non-coding RNA is filed under the name Arabidopsis thaliana (thale cress). The record is from RNAcentral. Lineage: Eukaryota; Viridiplantae; Streptophyta; Magnoliopsida; Brassicales; Brassicaceae.
UCUCCGAGAAUCUUGUUUGCUGAG